UGAGCACAGAGAGGAUUUAAUAGGAAGGGAAACACAAACCCCGCAGGGAGCUCAGGGCGGGCAGCCGGCGCUCCUCGAGGCCAGGCCGAGGGCCGCUGGAAGGGGCUGCCAUCACCCACCCUAGGCCGGGGUGUCCCUGUUUGGCUCUGUAAUAAAACAGAAUGGCUCUGAUCUCAGCGAUUAAAGCUUUAAAACUGCAAGCUUCAGGGAGGGAGUAGGUCCAGAGGAUCAGCCUGCCAGCCACCCCUUUCACUCUUCUCCAGGCUUGGAGCUGCUGGCAGAGCCCAGUCUGGCUCCAAAACCAUUCCAGGGACCUCCUGGGAAUCUCCAGCCGGGCCUCAGCCAGAGCAGCAUCCACCAGUGCCCUGACUUGCAAGGUGCCGGAAAACACCUCAGCUGCUGCUAAAUUAGGGGCAAGAAGGAACUAACUGGAAUUUUCCUGACAGGAGCCGUCCGCAUCCUGAAGCAUUCAUACUUCUCCCUGACUUCUCUUCAGCCUCUGCCUGUUGCCUGACACCACAGCAGAGCAGAUUGAGG
Ictidomys tridecemlineatus (thirteen-lined ground squirrel) is the source of this 537-nucleotide non-coding RNA. NCBI's taxonomy places the organism in Eukaryota, Metazoa, Chordata, Mammalia, Rodentia, Sciuridae. The record is from RefSeq and is a predicted model, not a curated record.